Molecule: ribosomal RNA, 481 nt
Filed under: uncultured bacterium
Lineage: Bacteria
Description: partial 16S ribosomal RNA
Rfam family: Bacterial small subunit ribosomal RNA
Source: RNAcentral
UAGGGAAUCUUCCACAAUGGACGCAAGUCUGAUGGAGCAACGCCGCGUGAGUGAAGAAGGUUUUCGGACCGUAAAGCUCUGUUGUUGGUGAAGAAGGAUAGAGGUAGUAACUGGCCUUUAUUUGACGGUAAUCAACCAGAAAGUCACGGCUAACUACGUGCCAGCAGCCGCGGUAAUACGUAGGUGGCAAGCGUUGUCCGGAUUUAUUGGGCGUAAAGCGAGCGCAGGCGGAAGAAUAAGUCUGAUGUGAAAGCCCUCGGCUUAACCGAGGAAUUGCAUCGGAAACUGUUUUCUUGAGUGCAGAAGAGGAGAGUAGAACUCCAUGUGUAGCGGUGAAAUGCGUAGAUAUAUGGAGAACACCAGUGGCGAAGGCGGCUGUCUGGUCUGUAACUGACGCUGAGGCUCGAAAGCAUGGGUAGCGAACAGGAUUAGAUACCCUGGUAGUCCAUGCCGUAAACGAUGAGUGCUAAGUGUUGGAGGG